This 216-nucleotide ribosomal RNA is filed under the name Salmonella enterica subsp. enterica serovar Infantis. RNAcentral's name for it is "partial 23S ribosomal RNA". It matches the Rfam family "Bacterial large subunit ribosomal RNA", at positions 1292 to 1512 of the family's 2925-position model. The record is from RNAcentral. Lineage: Bacteria; Pseudomonadati; Pseudomonadota; Gammaproteobacteria; Enterobacterales; Enterobacteriaceae. RNAcentral also lists the same sequence under 3 other names.
GAAUGCUGACAUAAGUAACGAUAAAGCGGGUGAAAAGCCCGCUCGCCGGAAGACCAAGGGUUCCUGUCCAACGUUAAUCGGGGCAGGGUGAGUCGACCCCUAAGGCGAGGCCGAAAGGCGUAGUCGAUGGGAAACGGGUUAAUAUUCCCGUACUUGGUGUUACUGCGAAGGGGGGACGGAGAAGGCUAUGUUGGCCGGGCGACGGUUGUCCCGGUU